UGGAAAUGAGGACAAAAUUGCAUUCACGGAUCUAAGAAUGAAGACCGUUAAUCCAACUCUGAUCCGAACACUGCU
This is a small nucleolar RNA of Dunckerocampus dactyliophorus (ringed pipefish), 75 nucleotides long. RefSeq annotates it as small nucleolar RNA SNORD19. The record is from RefSeq and is a predicted model, not a curated record. NCBI's taxonomy places the organism in Eukaryota, Metazoa, Chordata, Actinopteri, Syngnathiformes, Syngnathidae. The transcript has a single exon.